GCCACUUGUUGCAUAAUUAGGCUCAAAGAGAUUGCAAUCACAAUAAGAUCAGGCUAUCUUUUGUGUUAUACUAGGCCUUGAACAAACUCAACAAUGAAGCGCAUCCCAAAACUGAAUGGUGAACUUCUGCUCAUCUCAAUUUCAUGAUACCAUCCUGAUUUGGAACCUACAUGCUGACGCCCACAAUUUUGAUAGCCACAUUCCAAUGAUUUGGAAGACAGAUUGACAAGGUAAGCAUCAACUGAUAAUAAUCAUCCCCGUUAUACAACUAAGGCAAUUGUGACAAUAGUGAUCAUUUCAAAACAUUGAAGAAAUAUUGGUUUUCAGAAAUGUUCCAUCCACUGCACUAUUAUAAAGUUAAAGCAACAAACACACACAAACAAAUAUUAAGAGUUUCCUAA
Molecule: unclassified non-coding RNA, 401 nt
Filed under: Hevea brasiliensis (rubber tree)
Lineage: Eukaryota; Viridiplantae; Streptophyta; Magnoliopsida; Malpighiales; Euphorbiaceae
Source: RNAcentral